This 304-nucleotide ribosomal RNA is filed under the name uncultured bacterium. Its description in RNAcentral is "partial 16S ribosomal RNA". It matches the Rfam family "Bacterial small subunit ribosomal RNA", at positions 506 to 807 of the family's 1533-position model. The record is from RNAcentral.
CAGCAGUCGCCACGGUAAUACGAAGGGUGCAAGCGUUACUCGGAAUUACUGGGCGUAAAGCGUGCGUAGGUGGUGGUUUAAGUCCGUUGUGAAAGCCCUGGGCUCAACCUGGGAAUUGCAGUGGAUACUGGGUCACUAGAGUGUGGUAGAGGAUAGUGGAAUUUCCGGUGUAGCAGUGAAAUGCGUAGAGAUCGGAAGGAACAUCUGUGGCGAAGGCGACUAUCUGGGCCAACACUGACACUGAGGCACGAAAGCGUGGGGAGCAAACAGGAUUAGAUACCCCCGUAGUCCCUGUCUCUUAUAC